UAAAGGAUGAAAGAAUUUAUUUUAGCU
RNAcentral lists this non-coding RNA (27 nucleotides) under Rattus norvegicus (Norway rat). The record is from RNAcentral. Lineage: Eukaryota; Metazoa; Chordata; Mammalia; Rodentia; Muridae.